AAAAUUAAGAAGGAGGAAGUACGGGGAAUUGGCCCUAGUAGCGGCGAGUGAAGCGGCAUCAGCUCAAAUUUGAAAUCUGGCUCUUUCAGGGUCCGAGUUGUAAUUUGCAGAGGGCGCUUUGGCGUUGGCAGCGGUCCAAGUUCCUUGGAACAGGACGUCACAGAGGGUGAGAAUCCCGUACGUGGUCGCUGGCCUUCGCCGUGUAAAGCCCCUUCGACGAGUCGAGUUGUUUGGGAAUGCAGCUCUAAAUGGGAGGUAAAUUUCUUCUAAAGCUAAAUACUGGCCAGAGACCGAUAGCGCACAAGUAGAGUGAUCGAAAGAUGAAAAGCACUUUGGAAAGAGAGUCAAAUAGCACGUGAAAUUGUUGAAAGGGAAGCGCUUGCAGCCAGACUUGCCUGUAGUUGCUCAUCCGGGCUUUUGCCCGGUGCACUCUUCUGCGGGCAGGCCAGCAUCAGUUUGGACGGUUGGAUAAAGGCCUCUGUCAUGUACCUCCUUUCGGGGAGGCCUUAUAGGGGAGGCGUCAUGCAACCAGUCUGGACUGAGGUCCGCGCAUCUGCUAGGAUGCUGGCGUAAUGGCUGUAAGCGGCCCGUCUUGAAACACGGACCAAGGAGUCUAACAUCUAUGCGAGUGUUUGGGUGUCAAGCCCGAGCGCGUAAUGAAAGUGAACGGAGGUGGGAUCCCUUUAGGGUGCACCAUCGACCGAUCCUGAUGUCUUCGGAUGGAUUUGAGUAAGAGCAUGGCUGUUGGGACCCGAAAGAUGGUGAACUAUGCUUGAAUAGGGUGAAGCCAGAGGAAACUCUGGUGGAGGCUCGCAGCGGUUCUGACGUGCAAAUCGAUCGUCAAAUUUGGGCAUAGGGGCGAAAGACUAAUCGAACUAUCUAGUAGCUGGUUCCUGCCGAUUUCCCCCCUCCAGGGACAAAC
RNAcentral lists this ribosomal RNA (922 nucleotides) under Allocucurbitaria mori. Its description in RNAcentral is "Allocucurbitaria sp. CP-2021a partial large subunit ribosomal RNA". It matches the Rfam family "Eukaryotic large subunit ribosomal RNA", at positions 42 to 985 of the family's 3401-position model. Lineage: Eukaryota; Fungi; Ascomycota; Dothideomycetes; Pleosporales; Cucurbitariaceae. The record is from RNAcentral.